This 400-nucleotide ribosomal RNA is filed under the name uncultured bacterium. RNAcentral's name for it is "bacterial SSU rRNA". It matches the Rfam family "Bacterial small subunit ribosomal RNA", at positions 355 to 748 of the family's 1533-position model. The record is from RNAcentral.
UGGGGAAUUGUUCGCAAUGGGCGCAAGCCUGACGACGCAACGCCGCGUGGAGGAUGAAGGUCUUCGGAUUGUAAACUCCUGUUGAUCGGGACGAAAAGCUCCAACCUAAUACGUUGGAGACUGACGGUACCGGUUGAGGAAGCCACGGCUAACUCUGUGCCAGCAGCCGCGGUAAUACAGAGGUGGCAAGCGUUGUUCGGAAUUACUGGGCGUAAAGGGCGCGUAGGCGGCCUUCUAAGUCGGACGUGAAAGCCCCAGGCUUAACCUGGGAACUGCGUCUGAUACUGGGAGGCUUGGAUUCGGGAGAGGGAUGUGGAAUUCCAGGUGUAGCGGUGAAAUGCGUAGAUAUCUGGAGGAACACCGGUGGCGAAGGCGGCAUCCUGGACCGAGAUCGACGCUG